UCCCAUAUGCUCUAGUGGUUAGGAUUUGGCGCUUUCGCCGCCAAGGCCCGGGUUCAAUUCCCGGUGUGGGAA
Molecule: transfer RNA, 72 nt
Filed under: Saccoglossus kowalevskii
Lineage: Eukaryota; Metazoa; Hemichordata; Enteropneusta; Harrimaniidae
Description: tRNA-Glu
Rfam family: tRNA
About the family: Transfer RNA (tRNA) molecules are approximately 80 nucleotides in length. Their secondary structure includes four short double-helical elements and three loops (D, anti-codon, and T loops). Further hydrogen bonds mediate the characteristic L-shaped molecular structure. tRNAs have two regions of fundamental functional importance: the anti-codon, which is responsible for specific mRNA codon recognition, and the 3' end, to which the tRNAs corresponding amino acid is attached (by aminoacyl-tRNA synthetases). tRNAs cope with the degeneracy of the genetic code in two manners: having more than one tRNA (with a specific anti-codon) for a particular amino acid; and 'wobble' base-pairing, i.e. permitting non-standard base-pairing at the 3rd anti-codon position.
Source: RNAcentral